This 85-nucleotide transfer RNA is filed under the name Cordylochernes scorpioides. Its description in RNAcentral is "tRNA-Thr". The record is from RNAcentral. Lineage: Eukaryota; Metazoa; Arthropoda; Arachnida; Pseudoscorpiones; Chernetidae.
UGUCCAGGGAUGGGAAUCGAACCCACAGUGUUCCGCUUACUGGGCAGAUGCCAUGUCCACUAGGCCUUUCUCAGGUUGCCUAAAC